This 253-nucleotide ribosomal RNA is filed under the name uncultured bacterium. RNAcentral's name for it is "partial 16S ribosomal RNA". It matches the Rfam family "Bacterial small subunit ribosomal RNA", at positions 524 to 776 of the family's 1533-position model. The record is from RNAcentral.
UACGUAGGGGGCAAGCGUUGUCCGGAAUCAUUGGGCGUAAAGGGCGCGUAGGCGGCCCGCUAAGUCGAACGUGAAAUCCCCAGGCUCAACCUGGGAACUGCGUCCGAUACUGGCAGGCUUGAAUCCGGGAGAGGGAUGUGGAAUUCCAGGUGUAGCGGUGAAAUGCGUAGAUAUCUGGAGGAACACCGGUGGCGAAGGCGGCAUCCUGGACCGGUAUUGACGCUGAGGCGCGAAAGCUAGGGGAGCAAACAGG